RNAcentral lists this transfer RNA (87 nucleotides) under Acidobacteriota bacterium. RNAcentral's name for it is "tRNA-Leu". It matches the Rfam family "tRNA". Rfam says of the family: Transfer RNA (tRNA) molecules are approximately 80 nucleotides in length. Their secondary structure includes four short double-helical elements and three loops (D, anti-codon, and T loops). The record is from RNAcentral. RNAcentral also lists the same sequence under 2 other names. Lineage: Bacteria; Pseudomonadati; Acidobacteriota.
GCCGAAGUGGCGGAAUCGGCAGACGCGGCGGACUCAAAAUCCGUUGAGGGCAACCUCGUGUGGGUUCAAGUCCCACCUUCGGCACCA